RNAcentral lists this ribosomal RNA (321 nucleotides) under uncultured bacterium. RNAcentral's name for it is "bacterial SSU rRNA". It matches the Rfam family "Bacterial small subunit ribosomal RNA", at positions 84 to 422 of the family's 1533-position model. The record is from RNAcentral.
GCAAGACGUCAGCGGCAGACGGGAGAGUAACACGUGGGAACGUACCCUUCGGUUCGGAAUAACCCAGGGAAACUUGGAUUAAUACCGGAUACGUCCGUAAGGAGAAAGAUUUAUCGCCGAAGGAUCGGCCCGCGUCCGAUUAGCUAGUUGGUGGGGUAAUGGCCCACCAAGGCGACGAUCGGUAGCUGGUCUGAGAGGAUGAUCAGCCUCACUGGGACUGAGACACGGCCCAGACUCCUACGGGAGGCAGCAGUGGGGAAUAUUGGACAAUGGGCGCAAGCCUGAUCCAGCCAUGCCGCGUGGGUGAUGAAGGCCCUAGGG